CAUCCAUAUUAGAAAGGUUGUACCACUCUUCUAUAGCUACAGAGCACAAGGAUAGGAUGAAACAAUGACAUAAGUAUCUCAAACACCAGGAGAUCCAUACUGUGCUGGGACUGGAGGAUAUGCCGCUAUGGGACUGCUUUACACCUAGUGCUGUACCAGAGCCCCAUGCCAGUCAAUAGAGCUAAUUGUAAAUCUGUAUGUUCCGCUUCUCAUUAUGAUGUCAGCCACAAGCACUGAGGGAAGAAUCCAAGAUUUUGUGGUGCAGGACAUAUUCUUCUACACAAAGGCUAUACACCCCGAAGACCGCCAGCAUGAGAUAUAUCAACAGAGAAAACAAAAGAAACAUGGGACUCUGGAAGCAGAUCCUUACCUGAGAAUUCAAUCAGCAGUGUUGCUGAGGAAUAUGUGGUGCUGUACAGACUAGGAAGACUGGUCCUUUCUUCCACGAGUUUCUAAAUUAAAUGAAGAUGAGAGACAACUGGUAGAUGUAAAAACAAUAAGGGAACGAGGACAAGCUACAAGAUCACAGAGUUACAAAUGGCUGUCUGGUACACAACUUGAUAGUUCCAAUGCAUUUUUGAGAGAGAAAGAAAUUAAAUAAAGAUAUCUAAUCAAACACCACUAGCCUUCUUCCAUUCCUGUGGGCUGCAGGGGUAGAUUAAAUUAAACCUUUGUAUCUGCAAAUAUCAAAAUGAUCCAUUCAGAAUUCUACAACCAGGCCGCUAUAGGCACAAACGUGAUUUGACCAGAUAUUGUGCCAAUCAGAUGGUUGUCUGACUUGGUUGUUUAAUGGAAACUGGAUUCUAGUCACCUGAAGCCUACCAAAAAAACAAAAAAAUAAAAACAAAAAACUUACAACUUCUGACACAACAGAUAGGUGAAGAUAGUGCUGUUAUUAAAAAUAAUGGUCUCACUCAGCAGUCCCGAUCACAACUGGAGCUCCAUUGUGCUAGAGAACACACAUAUGGUCCUUGCACAGUACAGCUUAUAAUAUACAAGUUUGGGUAGCAGCAAACUAGCCUGUACUUAUUUUGUCCUUCUACUGUACUUUUUAUACAUCAAAAUCCUUUGGAUACAGACCAACUUUUCCUGCACAACAUAUUUAUUGGUGGGCCUGCCUUUAAAUAGGAAACUGCAAGCACUUUAGCUAGAUUAAAUCAGCUAGAAAGUAUGGGCAGUUCCAUUAAAAAAGCUGCAAGAAUAUAUUGUGUCUUUCCAAUGCAUCAAAUCCUCCAACCAUUGUCUUUUAAACUUUCUCCUCAGGAUACAAAAGACUCAACCUCCUUUGCAUGAUUCUACAGCACCAAGUCAGUUACACAUACCUCACAUCCAACUCUUAAUGAGAUGUUUGAUAUUUGGAGUUCUGACCUUGCUUCUAUUGAGUUCAAUGGGUGUUUUACCAACUACUACUUCAACGGGAGCAGAAAUAAGCCCCUAUAGUUAAAUUAAGCUGUUAGUACUUUAUGAACGAGUCUGAAGACACAUACAUCGUGCUUAUGCAAUGUUGGUGUUGGAAAGAAUGAACAAAUGGCUUGAUUUAAAACUGGGGUCUUUUGAAUGUUACCAUUCCAUUAAAAGGACAUAAAAAUCCAAAAUAUAAGACUAGGAGGUUAUGUCCAUCAAUGGCUAGCCUCUGUUUCUCUGGAGAUUGAUGAUAGGAGAGGGAUCAUGUGGGGAUUACCUAUUGUGUUCACUCCCUCUGGGGCAUCUGGUAUGGGCCACUGUCAGCAGACAGGAUACUAGGGUAGAUGGACCUUUGCUCUGACCUAGUAUGGCCAUUCUUAUGUAGAACUAGUCCAGAUGCCGAAGAGAAAAAUGUCCUAUCAAAAAUGCCAUCCCUAUAACAUCAAAGUUCAUCUGCAUUUCCUUAAAUCAGGAGUCUCAAACUCAUGGCCCAUGGGCUACGUACAGCCCAAGCAGUUCCACAAU
This is a long non-coding RNA of Pelodiscus sinensis (Chinese soft-shelled turtle), 1929 nucleotides long. RefSeq lists it as uncharacterized. Lineage: Eukaryota; Metazoa; Chordata; Testudines; Trionychidae. The record is from RefSeq and is a predicted model, not a curated record.